Molecule: ribosomal RNA, 273 nt
Filed under: uncultured Streptomyces sp.
Lineage: Bacteria; Bacillati; Actinomycetota; Actinomycetes; Kitasatosporales; Streptomycetaceae
Description: partial 16S ribosomal RNA
Rfam family: Bacterial small subunit ribosomal RNA
Source: RNAcentral
AAUGGGGCCUACUCUGGGAUGAGCCCGCCUAUCAGCUUGUUGGUGGGGUAAUGGCCUACCAAGGCGACGACGGGUAGCCGGCCUGAGAGGCCGACCGGCCACACUGGGACUGAGACACGGCCCAGACUCCUACGGGAGGCAGCAGUGGGGAAUAUUGCACAAUGGGCGAAAGCCUGAUGCAGCGACGCCGCGUGAGGGAUGACGGCCUUCGGGUUGUAAACCUCUUUCAGCAGGGAAGAAGCGAAAGUGACGGUACCUCAGAGAGGCCGAUCC